Molecule: ribosomal RNA, 694 nt
Filed under: Salmonella enterica
Lineage: Bacteria; Pseudomonadati; Pseudomonadota; Gammaproteobacteria; Enterobacterales; Enterobacteriaceae
Also listed under: 3 other names
Description: partial 23S ribosomal RNA
Rfam family: Bacterial large subunit ribosomal RNA
Source: RNAcentral
CCGGGUUGCGGACAGUGUCUGGUGGGUAGUUUGACUGGGGCGGUCUCCUCCUAAAGAGUAACGGAGGAGCACGAAGGUUGGCUAAUCCUGGUCGGACAUCAGGAGGUUAGUGCAAUGGCAUAAGCCAGCUUGACUGCGAGCGUGACGGCGCGAGCAGGUGCGAAAGCAGGUCAUAGUGAUCCGGUGGUUCUGAAUGGAAGGGCCAUCGCUCAACGGAUAAAAGGUACUCCGGGGAUAACAGGCUGAUACCGCCCAAGAGUUCAUAUCGACGGCGGUGUUUGGCACCUCGAUGUCGGCUCAUCACAUCCUGGGGCUGAAGUAGGUCCCAAGGGUAUGGCUGUUCGCCAUUUAAAGUGGUACGCGAGCUGGGUUUAGAACGUCGUGAGACAGUUCGGUCCCUAUCUGCCGUGGGCGCUGGAGAACUGAGGGGGGCUGCUCCUAGUACGAGAGGACCGGAGUGGACGCAUCACUGGUGUUCGGGUUGUCAUGCCAAUGGCACUGCCCGGUAGCUAAAUGCGGAAGAGAUAAGUGCUGAAAGCAUCUAAGCACGAAACUUGCCCCGAGAUGAGUUCUCCCUGAGACUUAGAGUCUCCUGAAGGAACGUUGAAGACGACGACGUUGAUAGGCCGGGUGUGUAAGCGCAGCGAUGCGUUGAGCUAACCGGUACUAAUGAACCGUGAGGCUUAACCUUACA